CAGCAGCCGCGGUAAUACGAAGGGGGCUAGCGUUGCUCGGAAUUACUGGGCGUAAAGGGCGCGUAGGCGGACAGUUCAGUCGGGGGUGAAAGCCCGGGGCUCAACCUCGGAAUUGCCUUCGAUACUGGCUGUCUUGAGUGUGAGAGAGGUGUGUGGAACUCCGAGUGUAGAGGUGAAAUUCGUAGAUAUUCGGAAGAACACCAGUGGCGAAGGCGACACACUGGCUCACUACUGACGCUGAGGCACGAAAGCUAGGGGAGCAAACAGGAUUAGAGACCCCGGUAGUCCCUGUCUCUUAUAC
Molecule: ribosomal RNA, 301 nt
Filed under: uncultured bacterium
Lineage: Bacteria
Description: partial 16S ribosomal RNA
Rfam family: Bacterial small subunit ribosomal RNA
Source: RNAcentral